Solanum stenotomum is the source of this 772-nucleotide long non-coding RNA. RefSeq lists it as uncharacterized. The transcript has 2 exons. Lineage: Eukaryota; Viridiplantae; Streptophyta; Magnoliopsida; Solanales; Solanaceae. The record is from RefSeq and is a predicted model, not a curated record.
UAAUUUAUUUAAAUAAAUUUAAAAUAUAAAACAUAAAAUCAAGAAAAUAAACAAAAUAAUUAAAAGGAUUUGAGGGGGUAUUUUUGUCUUUACCUAGAUUAGUCCCAUGGUAUUAGAACUAAUACCACCAAAUGGAAGGUAUUAGUUAUACAACCUAUAAUACCAUGUAGGGUGUAUAACUAAUCCGUGGAUUGAUUAUACAUAGACCCAAAAUUCCUACCAAACAUAGUACUAAAUAAUACCACACAUAAUACUUGAACUAUUUCUCCUAAUACUCCCUACCAAACGACCUCUUAAAGUCAAUUCUCUGACUAAUUUUGGCCACCUUAGAGAAACCCAGAGCUUGAAAAUGACCUCAACAGCAAGAACAUUGUUAGAGUUCAACAUCAAAAUCCAUAGAUGUCACGUCAAGCGCCUACUUACAGGUUUUGUUUACCAACAUAUUUCUGUAUAUCUAACACUGUUAUGGUAUGGUUGAUCUCAACUGAUACUACCUCCAUACUCGACAGACAAACUAGGUUAUUGCUGAUCAAAAUACAACAAAAAGGUUAUAUACAAUGGAGAGCUGCAAGUCCAAAGUAUUGCCGAAUCUGCUGCUGCUGCUUAUCGUCUAAAUCUACAUUACCUAACUAAGUAUACAUGCCAUUCCCUAUGAACGAAUGUCUCGUUUCUACUAGACUACUAUUAUUAUGCACCAUCUUGAACCUCCUGUCGCAACAACUGAGGCCUCUUUUCAAGGAUUUGGGAUGGCCAUACAUCAUUUGGAGUGGGG